UACAGAGGAGCCAAGCGUUGUCCGGAUUGACUGGGCGUAAAGGGUGCGUAGGCGGCGGAGUAAGUUGGGUGUGAAAUCCCGGGGCUUAACCUCGGAAUGGCAUUCAAUACUGCUUCGCUUGAGUACUGGAGAGGAGGCUGGAAUUUACGGUGUAGCAGUGAAAUGCGUAGAUAUCGUAAGGAAGGCCGGUGGCGAAAGCGAGCCUCUGGACAGUUACUGACGCUGAUGCACGAAGGCCAGGGGAGCAAACGGG
This 253-nucleotide ribosomal RNA is filed under the name uncultured bacterium. Its description in RNAcentral is "partial 16S ribosomal RNA". It matches the Rfam family "Bacterial small subunit ribosomal RNA", at positions 524 to 776 of the family's 1533-position model. The record is from RNAcentral.